GCAAAGUAGAGAGAUGGGACUAUCAGGAGUCUGCCCAACUCUGAAGAGCACCACAGCCCAGCACCCUCUCAAGAGAAAGAUCCUUACAUCCUCUCAAGAGAAAAAUCCUUAACAAUGUGAGGCAAGCGCCUAUAAAGACCUCGGGGAUCUGCUGGCUUAGUCUACAACCAUCCUUUCCAAGCCCAGUCCCUAGGGACCAGAGGGUCAGAACCUCAGCUCCCUAGGACCAAGAAAGUCUAGCACAAUUCUUAGGCAUAUGAAGGGCAAGGCCUCCGUCCAUUCGGAAUUGAAGACUUCAACCAGGAGUAUGGGCACAUUCCCAUAAUGCUAGGCCACUAGGAAGUUUCCCAGAGUGUCUGGCUCCUGUCGUUCCCUACCCAGGAAGAUGAUAUAAAAAGUACAGAUUGCCCCACAGGUCACCAGGCAAUUGCCCAACUGCCCGCUGGGGUGGUACCAGCAGAACUCCCCCCAUGCCUGCUCCAUCAGACAAUCGCUGAUCUAGUUCAUUCGGGUUUUAAAAGGUGAGGAUCACAGCUCAGUCUUUUCCCAGGAUCCUGAGAAGCUCCUGAUUUUCCCUCAAGCCUAAGGCAAAGAGAUUCAGAACCUCCUUAUCCCACUGACUCCAAGAGAGCCUGUUCUCCGAUAUCUCCAAGAGAGCCUAUCCUCCGAUAGGAGGGGAAGCCCCUCCAACCUGCAGGCCAGGAGAGACCAUCUGGUCCACCCCCCACACCACCCCCAUUUUCAGAGGGGAAAUGGAGGUGUGGAGCAACGGAGCAGCCUAACCAAAGACCUGUCACAGACACACCACUCCAGUCACAACCGGCCUUGUGACAGUUUCUACUUAAACUCUGGCUGCCCCCAUGAGGGUAUGACAGGAUAUGUAACAGGCCACCACAUGGCCUCUGUUUUCAAGGCACAAGAAAAAUACUUUGCAUUCGG
Molecule: long non-coding RNA, 939 nt
Organism: Cercocebus atys (sooty mangabey)
Lineage: Eukaryota; Metazoa; Chordata; Mammalia; Primates; Cercopithecidae
Exons: 2
Source: RefSeq, a predicted model, not a curated record